GCGGGUUUGUCCACUGGUGAUCUUGGCUCUCCGGCCAUGUCUCCUCUGUUGGCUCUUGUGGUUGCGCAUGCCGAGCCCAUGGGUCUCGAAGGACUCGUGGAUUGUAAUCGCAAUAAUGCAGGUGCGCUGCUUCUUCUGGUCCAGGGUCAGCUCCAUACCAAGUGCGUUCUCGGUGAGUGGUUAUCCUUUCAGAUGCCACUCGCUGUGGAGUUCUCUGGUUCACUGGUGUUGCUGCAAUCUCAAUCAAAAAGUUUUGCACAGCAUAGAGGCCAAGGUUCGGGUUAGGUAACCGAAUCUUGCCUUUAUCAUCAUACAACAUAUACAUUAUAUUCCCCUCUUUCUUUAACAGCCGAGCUUGUCUAAAUGUGUCAUAGCCAUGGUAAAUUCUUAAUUCUUCUAUGAAGUCCAACGAUGAGUUUUCUAGUAAGUGCAGAUUAGUGGCUAGACGAGUGAUAAGUGAAGUACAUCCUACUGGUCCCUGAAGACUAGGUAUACUAAGCCAAUGUGAAACUAAUAGUGUAACAGGUGAAGUGGGUACUUUACUAAUAGCAGCAUAUAAAAGUUGUAAAUCUCCUACUCUUACUUUCCUAAUAUCAUC
This 598-nucleotide long non-coding RNA is filed under the name Sorghum bicolor (sorghum). Its description in RNAcentral is "long non-coding RNA (SBIC_LNC008470)". Lineage: Eukaryota; Viridiplantae; Streptophyta; Magnoliopsida; Poales; Poaceae. The record is from RNAcentral.